Long non-coding RNA from Pygocentrus nattereri (red-bellied piranha), 866 nucleotides. RefSeq lists it as uncharacterized. The record is from RefSeq and is a predicted model, not a curated record. Lineage: Eukaryota; Metazoa; Chordata; Actinopteri; Characiformes; Serrasalmidae. The transcript has 2 exons.
CCUCAAAAUACAGUUAAAGCCCUUAGAAAGGAUGACGUUUAUAGGCCAAAUGUUCGGCUAAAGAGUUGAUAAAUAAGCGAAUAUCUGACAAAUGUUUCCUCACCACAUGAAAUGAUCUGCCACCCUGGAGAGCUCAGAUCCAACGCACACCUGGCUCUAAUAUUCAGAUGUUCCUGAAGGCCUUCAUUACCUGGAUCAGAUGUGGUCAGGUGGAUCUCCAGGACUGGACCUAAGCGCCCAUUAUUCCACUGGUCAAAACAAGACGAACUUCCUUGUUUCAACAGGUUAUGAUGUUCAGUGAUAUAUUGUUAAGAGGACCCAGAGAACAGAGGAAUUCUCACACAGUUACGUCCAAUCUUAACUAGUCGUCUUCUCAGAUCUCAUACAUUUAGCUUCUGAGAAACAGCCUUUGGAUCAAAACAGUGGCUCAUUAAUGUCUUAACUCCUUUGUGUCUGACUUUUCGCUCCCUAGUCGCUGAAUAACACCCAAGAAAAGAGCCAGAUCUCAUUCUUCAUAUAAAAGUUAGAGACCACACUUUCAUUGAUUCGGUUACCAACUUACCAAGUGCAAGUUAUUUGUUUUUCAGUGUCAGGAUAACAUAUUUCCAGGAAUGACACAGAAACCCCAACAGCCAUCAUCCUUUUCAGUAUUUCGUGUGUUCACUCUUUGCCUUUAUUACAGUUUCCGUUCUUUUCAGAGGUCUUAUUUUCAGUUUUAUAAGAAAUCUGCAGGGAUAUUUUUCCACACCUCCAAAGUUCAGUCUUAUAAGUUGGUUGCAUUUUCUACUUCUUGCUGUCUAAGUAAGCUUAUUUGCAGAUUUACACUUACCUGAUCAUAAAGCCUUGGUCUACGUCUCAGAUCUCCA